AACUGCUGGACAAGGAGUGUUCUGUUGAGCUCAUUUUCACACGAUGAACAACUGGCUUAGAACUGAUUCGGGCAAGGGGAAUCCGACUGUUUAAUUGAAACAAAGCAUUGCGAGGGCCUCAAAGGGUGGUGCCACAAUGUGAUUUCUGCCCAGUGCUCUGAAUGUCAAAGUGAGGAAAUUCAACUAAGCGCGGGUAAACGGCGGGAGUAACUAUGACUCUCUUAAGGUAGCCAAAUGCCUCGUCAUCCAAUUAGUGACGCGCAUGAAUGGAUUAAUGAGAUUCCCACUGUCCCCAUCUACUGUCCAGCGAAACCACAGCCAAGGGAACGGGCUUGGGUAAAUCAGCGGGGAAAGAAGACCCUGUUGAGCUUGACUCUAAUCUGACUUUGUGAAAUGACUUAGGAGGUGUAGGAUAUGUGGGAGCUCUGGUGAUCUUGAAAUACCACUACUCUUAAUGUCACUUUACUUACUCUAUCAAACUGUGGCCUGCUUCCCAGCAGGUUUUUGUUUCAAGGCAUCUCAUCUGACUUGUUGACUUGCGUAAAGGACGUACUCAGGUGGGCAGUUUGGCUGGGGCGGCACAUCUGUUAAAGGAUAACGCAGGUGUCCCAAGGUAAGCUCAAGGAAAACAAAAAUCUCAUGUGGAUCAAAAGGGGAAAUGCUUGCUUGAUUUUGCUUUUCAGUGUGAAGACAAACUGUGCAAACAUGGCCUAUCGAUCCUUUGG
This 725-nucleotide ribosomal RNA is filed under the name Gambierdiscus australes. RNAcentral's name for it is "LSU rRNA". It matches the Rfam family "Eukaryotic large subunit ribosomal RNA", at positions 2052 to 2779 of the family's 3401-position model. Lineage: Eukaryota; Dinophyceae; Gonyaulacales; Pyrocystaceae. The record is from RNAcentral.